Molecule: transfer RNA, 70 nt
Filed under: Marmota monax (woodchuck)
Lineage: Eukaryota; Metazoa; Chordata; Mammalia; Rodentia; Sciuridae
Description: tRNA.Ala
Source: RNAcentral
GGGCUGGGGCUCAGCGGUAGAGCCCUUGCCUAGCAUGUGUGAGGCCCUGGGUUCCAUCCUCAGCACCACA